UACGGAGGGUGCAAGCAUUAUCCGGAAUCACUGGGUUUAAAGGGUGCGUAGGCGGCUUAAUAAGUCAGUGGUGAAAGGCUGUGGCUUAACCAUGGAAUUGCCAUUGAUACUGUUGAGCUUGAAUCAGGUUGAGGUUGGCGGAAUGUGACAUGUAGCGGUGAAAUGCUUAGAUAUGUCAUGGAACACCGAUUGCGAAGGCAGCUGACUGGACCUGUAUUGACGCUGAGGCACGAAAGCGUGGGGAGCGAACAGG
This 253-nucleotide unclassified non-coding RNA is filed under the name uncultured Chitinophagales bacterium. RNAcentral describes it as "contains 16S-23S intergenic spacer region". It matches the Rfam family "Bacterial small subunit ribosomal RNA", at positions 524 to 776 of the family's 1533-position model. Lineage: Bacteria; Pseudomonadati; Bacteroidota; Chitinophagia; Chitinophagales. The record is from RNAcentral.